Molecule: transfer RNA, 72 nt
Filed under: Bifidobacterium longum
Lineage: Bacteria; Bacillati; Actinomycetota; Actinomycetes; Bifidobacteriales; Bifidobacteriaceae
Description: tRNA-Val
Source: RNAcentral
UGGGCGAUACAAGAUUCGAACUUGUGACCCCUUCCGUGUCAGGGAAGUGCGCUACCACUGCGCCAACCGCCC